UGUCUCGAAGAUGUUAAGGAUCGGGUGUUUCUUAAAAUGGAGCUGAAACAACUGUUUCUAAUGUGGGUAUCGAGGAGUAUAUGGGAGCAGUUGACAAUGAAAUUACUGGCCAAACCAAAGUUAUUGUCUUAUCAUGGGUCAAGGUAUUUGGCACCCGCUAUGCUGAAGGAUGUGUCAUAGUCACUUCUUUAAAUUAUGGACAACCAUCCUUUGGUAGGAUUGAUAAGGUUUUUUUGUUUUGGGGACAGUAAUAUUCCAGUACCAUUGUCUCCAGCUGAUGGAAUAUUCAGAACAUUUGAAUGCCUAUGAGGUUUUGCCACUAUAUGAUAAACAAUUUAUAAAACAGAGAGAUUUACAAGAUUAUCAUCCCCUCGGUAUUCAUCAAGGUUUUGGAAAAAAUGCAAGAAAAUGUUUUGUCAUCUUGCGUUAUAGGGUAGACAUCUUACAGUAAUUUAGGAACUGGAUUUAGAACAAUUGUGUAAAUAUGCAUAUAUUCAAAUUUGUUAAUGUGUUAAAAGUGCAACCUAAAAAGAAAAAUUCCAUGCAUGACCAAAUUGUGUAUUGAAUAUUAUUCCAUUCAGUAAGAACAUCUAACCCUCUACCAUCCCCAGACAAGGUAAAUUUAUAGAAGACUGAUAGGGCACACACACAAGUAGACACAUCAAAUCAGCUGAACAGUAUCUUUUGAUGUUUAGCAAGCGCAAAUACUAUAGCAUGAGAUAAUUUUUAAUACUUUUCUUUUAAUUUUGGUGUUAAUUUGUUUACAUACUCCUGACAUAAACCUGCUGUUGCAUAUGUACGCUCCAGUCUUGGAUCUUAAUUGAUUCUAUUGCACUGACAAUGUCAAUUUUCUUUUCUUCAGUCUCAGUCUCAUUAGCAACGGUGUCACUUGUGUCAUACCCAUCCAUCUGAUCAUAUUCCUCAACCACUCUCCUCCUUUUGUUUGUUUUUUUUUCUUUUUUUCUUUUUCUGCUCACAUGUUUCCUCUUUAAAGAUGCAUUUGCUUCUGAAAUAUUUGCAAUCAUUCAGUUCAGAUGAGCUCAUGCUCAGGAGUAUUUAAGAAAAUUUUAUAUUAACUUUAAUAAUACAUUGUCAUUGUCUGAAGUUUGGUUUUUUAAUUAAAUAUAUUUUAUAAGCUUAAGCAACCCAUAUAUAUUAAAAACAUAUAUAUGGGUUGCUUCCUUAACUGGAAGCGCUUGAUAAUUCAGAAUUACAUUACAGCCUGAGCCUGGCCUAGGCCUGGAAAAUGAGUUGGCUGAAAUUCUUCCCCUAAAAAAUGAAACAGCUGCUGACCUUGUACGUUGGCGUCUUCAACGUUUAGUAAACACUCUUCGUUUGACUAUAAAAAAACCAAAAGACUAUAAUGGACGCCAUAAUAAGAGAAAAGAUUAAUAAUUCAUGAACUCACCUCUGAUUUGUUCGCCAUCUUUGAAUAACAAUACCACGUGUUCAGAUUCAGGUCAUGUUGACAAAUUGCCGAAAAAUUUCUCGCGUACAAAUUACACGAAAAUU
This is a long non-coding RNA of Dendronephthya gigantea, 1512 nucleotides long. RefSeq lists it as uncharacterized. The transcript has 3 exons. The record is from RefSeq and is a predicted model, not a curated record. NCBI's taxonomy places the organism in Eukaryota, Metazoa, Cnidaria, Anthozoa, Malacalcyonacea, Nephtheidae.